ACGAACGCUGGCGGCGUGCUUAACACAUGCAAGUCGAACGGAAAGGCCCUGCGUUUGCGGGGUGCUCGAGUGGCGAACGGGGGAGAAACACGCGAGUAACCCGCCCUUGACUUUGGGAUAACUUCAGGAAACAGGGGCUAAUACCGGAGAGGAGCUCCUGCUGCAUGGGGGGGGAUGGAAAGUUACGGCGGUGGGGGCUAGUCUCGCGGCUUAUGAGCUUGAUGGUGGGGUAGUGGCGUACCAAGGCUUUGACGGGUAGCCGGCCUGGGAGGGUGGCCGGCCACCUUGGGACUGCGGUACGCACCAGUAUCCUACGGGCGGCAGUAGUCGGGAGUCUUGCGCAAUGGGCGGACGCCUGUUGCGACAACGCCGCGUGCGGAAUGCCGGCUUUCGGGUUGUAAACCGCUUUCGCCUGUGCCGAAGCGUGAGUGACGGUACUGGGUAAGGAAGCACCGGCUAACUACGUG
Molecule: ribosomal RNA, 467 nt
Filed under: uncultured bacterium
Lineage: Bacteria
Description: partial 16S ribosomal RNA
Rfam family: Bacterial small subunit ribosomal RNA
Source: RNAcentral